GGUCAAGCUACAAAGGGCGCAUGGUGAAUGCCUUGGCAUCAGGAGCCGAUGAAGGACGUGAUAAGCUGCGAUAAGCUUCGGGUAGGCGCACAUAGCCUGAGAUCCGAAGAUCUCCGAAUGAGGAAACUCACAUGGGAAACCCCAUGUAUCAUUAAGUGAAUACAUAGCUUAAUGAAGGUAACCCAGGGAACUGAAACAUCUAAGUACCUGGAGGAAGAGAAAGAAAAAUCGAUUUUCUUAGUAGCGGCGAGCGAAAGGGAAAGAGCCCAAACCGGAAACUUGUUUCCGGGGUUGUGGACAUAACAUAAAAGUGGAGGCUAUUGUAACUGAAGAGAACUGGAAAGUUCCACCGUAGAAGGUAAUAGUCCUGUAAGUGAAACGAGAAGACCACGAGUUAUGAUCCAGAGUACCACGAGACACGUGAAACCUUGUGGGAAGCAGGGAGGACCACCUCCCAAGGCUAAAUACUACCUGAUGACCGAUAGUGAAGCAGUACCGUGAGGGAAAGGUGAAAAGAACCCCGGGAGGGGAGUGAAAUAGAACCUGAAACCGUGUGCCUACAACCGCUCAGAGCCCCUUAUGAGGGUGAUGAGGUGCUUUUUGUAGAACGAGCCAACGAGUUACGGUAUGUAGCAAGGUUAAGUACUUAAGGUACGGAGCCGAAGGGAAACCGAGUCUGAAUAGGGCGACUAGUUGCAUGCCGUAGACCCGAAACCGGGUGACCUAUCCAUGGCCAGGUUGAAGCGAGGGUAAAACCUCGUGGAGGACCGAACCACGUUGCUGUUGAAAAAGCAUGGGAUGAGCUGUGGAUAGCGGAGAAAUUCCAAUCGAACCCGGAGAUAGCUGGUUCUCUCCGAAAUAGCUUUAGGGCUAGCGUCGAGUAUGAGUAGUGGAGGUAGAGCACUGAAUGGGCUAGGGGGCAUAGCGCUUACCGAACCUUAUCAAACUCCGAAUGCCACAUACUUUGAGCUCGGCAGUCAGACUACGAAUGAUAAGAUCCGUGGUCAAAAGGGAAACAGCCCAGAUCGUCAGCUAAGGUCCCAAAGUGUAAGUUAAGUGGGAAAGGAUGUGAGAUUUCUAAGACAACUAGGAUGUUGGCUUAGAAGCAGCCAUUCAUUAAAAGAGUGCGUAAUAGCUCACUAGUCGAGAGAUCUUGCGCCGAAAAUGUAACGGGGCUAAACUUACCACCGAAGCUACGGGCUUGAACUAAGUUCAAGCGGUAGGAGAGCGUCGUAACCGGGCUGAAGUCGUACCGUAAGGAGCGGUGGACUGGUUACGAGUGAGAAUGUUGGCAUCAGUAGCGAGAUGUGGGUGAGAAUCCCACAGGCCGAAAACCUAAGGUUUCCUCAGGAAGGUUCGUCCGCUGAGGGUUAGUCGGGACCUAAGCCGAGGCCGAAAGGCGUAGGUGAUGGACAACUGGUUGAUAUUCCAGUACCACUACCAUCGUUAUUAUCGAUGGCGUGACGCAGGAGGAUAGUGUGUGCUAGCUAUUGGAUGCUAGUCUAAGCGUUUAGGCAGUGAGAGUAGGCAAAUCCGCUCUCAUAAUGCUGAGGCGUGAUGGGGAAGGUUCCACGGAACCGAAGUACAUGAUUCCACGCUGCCAAGAAAAGCGUCUAGAGAGAGAAGUAGUGCCCGUACCGCAAACCGACACAGGUAGGUGAGGAGAGAAUCCUAAGGCCGGCGGAAGAAUUACAGUUAAGGAACUCGGCAAAUUGACCCCGUAAGUUCGCGAGAAGGGGUGCCUACGAGAGUAGGCCGCAGAGAAUAGGCCCAAGCAACUGUUUAGCAAAAACACAGGUCUCUGCUAAAGCGUAAGCUGAUGUAUAGGGGCUGACGCCUGCCCGGUGCUGGAAGGUUAAGGGGAACACUUAGCGCAAGCGAAGGUGUGAACUUAAGCCCCAGUAAACGGCGGCCGUAACUAUAACGGUCCUAAGGUAGCGAAAUUCCUUGUCAGGUAAGUUCUGACCCGCACGAAUGGCGUAAUGACUUGGGCACUGUCUCAACUGUAAAUCCGGCGAAGUUGUAGUGCGAGUGAAGAUGCUCGCUACCCGCGAUUGGACGGAAAGACCCCGUAGAGCUUUACUGUAGCUUAGCAUUGAGUUUUGGUAUUGUCUGUACAGGAUAGGUGGGAGACUAGGAAACCAGGGCGUCAGCCUUGGUGGAGUCAACCUUGGGAUACCACCCUGACAGUACUGAAAUUCUAACUGGCGGCCAUGAAUCUGGUCACAGGACAUUGUUAGGUGGGCAGUUUGACUGGGGCGGUCGCCUCCUAAAAAGUAACGGAGGCGCCCAAAGGUUCCCUCAGAACGGUCGGAAAUCGUUCGAAGAGUGCAAAGGCAGAAGGGAGCCUGACUGCGACACCCACAAGUGGAGCAGGGACGAAAGUCGGGCUUAGUGAUCCGGUGGUACCUCGUGGGAGGGCCAUCGCUCAACGGAUAAAAGCUACCUCGGGGAUAACAGGCUGAUCUCCCCCAAGAGUCCACAUCGACGGGGAGGUUUGGCACCUCGAUGUCGGCUCGUCGCAUCCUGGGGCUGAAGUAGGUCCCAAGGGUUGGGCUGUUCGCCCAUUAAAGCGGCACGCGAGCUGGGUUCAGAACGUCGUGAGACAGUUCGGUCCCUAUCCGUCGCGGGCGUAGGAAAUUUGAGAGGAGCUGUCCUUAGUACGAGAGGACCGGGAUGGACUGACCUCUGGUGUACCAGUUGUUCCGCCAGGAGCACAGCUGGGUAGCUAAGUCGGGAAUGGAUAAACGCUGAAAGCAUCUAAGCGUGAAGCCAACCUCAAGAUGAGAUUUCCCAUAGCGUAAGCUAGUAAGAUCCCUUGAAGAACACAAGGUUGAUAGGUCGGGGGUGUAAGCAUGGUAACAUGUUCAGCUGACCGAUACUAAUAGAUCGAGGGCUUGACCAAAUAUAGUAAAUUAAAUAUGUGCAAUUUUGAAAGAACAAAAACUUUCAAACAUCUGGUGAUGAUGUUCUUUAGGGUAACACCCGUUCCCAUUCCGAAC
Molecule: ribosomal RNA, 3002 nt
Filed under: Clostridium perfringens CPE str. F4969
Lineage: Bacteria; Bacillati; Bacillota; Clostridia; Eubacteriales; Clostridiaceae
Source: RNAcentral